UACGUAGGUGGCAAGCGUUAUUCGGAUUCACUGGGCGUAAAGGGUGCGCAGGCGGCCGGGUGUGUCAGAUGUGAAAUCCCGAGGCUUAACCUCGGAACUGCGUCUGAAACUACUCGGCUAGAGUAUUGGAGAGGGUAACGGAAUUCACGGUGUAGCAGUGAAAUGCGUAGAUAUCGUGAGGAACACCAGAGGCGAAGGCGGUUACCUGGACAAUUACUGACGCUCUGGCACGAAAGCAUGGGGAGCAAAAGGG
RNAcentral lists this ribosomal RNA (253 nucleotides) under uncultured bacterium. Its description in RNAcentral is "partial 16S ribosomal RNA". It matches the Rfam family "Bacterial small subunit ribosomal RNA", at positions 524 to 776 of the family's 1533-position model. The record is from RNAcentral.